CCUACGGGCGGCAGCAGUGGGGAAUAUUGGACAAUGGGCGAAAGCCUGAUCCAGCCAUGCCGCGUGUGUGAAGAAGGCCUUCGGGUUGUAAAGCACUUUCAGUGGGGAAGAAAGCCUUGGGGCUAAUACCCUCGAGGAAGGACAUCACCCACAGAAGAAGCACCGGCUAACUCCGUGCCAGCAGCCGCGGUAAUACGGAGGGUGCGAGCGUUAAUCGGAAUUACUGGGCGUAAAGCGCGCGUAGGCGGUCUGAUAAGCCGGUUGUGAAAGCCCCGGGCUCAACCUGGGAACGGCAUCCGGACCGGUCGGGCGAGGUGGCAGGAGGGGAAGUAAAAAUUCCCGUGGUGGCGGUGAAAGGGUUAGAGAUCGGAGGGAAAACCGGGGGCGAAGGCGGCUUCUGGACCUGAAACGGCCGCGGAGUGGCGAAGCCGGGGUUGGCAACCAGAAUUGGAAACCGUGUAGUC
This 464-nucleotide ribosomal RNA is filed under the name Vreelandella stevensii. Its description in RNAcentral is "partial 16S ribosomal RNA". It matches the Rfam family "Bacterial small subunit ribosomal RNA", at positions 338 to 795 of the family's 1533-position model. The record is from RNAcentral. Lineage: Bacteria; Pseudomonadati; Pseudomonadota; Gammaproteobacteria; Oceanospirillales; Halomonadaceae.